RNAcentral lists this long non-coding RNA (245 nucleotides) under Gossypium raimondii (Peruvian cotton). RNAcentral describes it as "long non-coding RNA (GRAI_LNC007495)". Lineage: Eukaryota; Viridiplantae; Streptophyta; Magnoliopsida; Malvales; Malvaceae. The record is from RNAcentral.
CGGGUUUUGAUGGGCUGGCAGAAGUGAGGAUUGAGGGUGGGUUAUUCUUGCAUGGGAGAUUACGCGCAAGCCAAAAAUGCAUGGGAGGACUUUGGCUUCCAAGACAUCAAACUAUUUAACUUGGCCGAGGACACUUGACAAACCGUCGUUGAUUUGCAUGAGUUUGUGUAUGGCUAUAAGGAGGUUGACGCCGGACUUCUAUUGAAAAAUUGGAGAUAAGGCGAAUGUGGGGAUUUGGGAUGAUA